GACGAACGCUGGCGGCGUGCUUAACACAUGCAAGUCGAGCGGUAAGGCCCUUUCGGGGGUACACGAGCGGCGAACGGGUGAGUAACACGUGGGUGACCUGCCCUCAGCUCUGGGAUAAGCCUGGGAAACCGGGUCUAAUACCGGAUAUGACUCCAUGACACAUGUUGUGGGGUGGAAAGCCUUGUGCGGCUGAGGAUGGGCCCGCGGCCUAUCAGCUUGUUGGUGGGGUGAUGGCCUACCAAGGCGACGACGGGUAGCCGGCCUGAGAGGGCGACCGGCCACACUGGGACUGAGACACGGCCCAGACUCCUACGGGAGGCAGCAGUGGGGAAUCUUGCGCAAUGGGCGAAAGCCUGACGCAGCGACGCCGCGUGAGGGAUGACGGCCUGGUGUAACGUACUUCUAG
RNAcentral lists this ribosomal RNA (406 nucleotides) under uncultured bacterium. Its description in RNAcentral is "bacterial SSU rRNA". It matches the Rfam family "Bacterial small subunit ribosomal RNA", at positions 28 to 436 of the family's 1533-position model. The record is from RNAcentral.